RNAcentral lists this transfer RNA (73 nucleotides) under Russula foetens. RNAcentral's name for it is "tRNA-Ser". It matches the Rfam family "tRNA". From Rfam's summary of the family: Transfer RNA (tRNA) molecules are approximately 80 nucleotides in length. Their secondary structure includes four short double-helical elements and three loops (D, anti-codon, and T loops). Lineage: Eukaryota; Fungi; Basidiomycota; Agaricomycetes; Russulales; Russulaceae. The record is from RNAcentral.
AGGCUUAAUUAUUAAUUGGUAUUAAUUUAGAAAUCGAAAUUCUAAUAUUACAGUUCGAUUCUGUUUAACUCUA